Molecule: ribosomal RNA, 440 nt
Filed under: uncultured bacterium
Lineage: Bacteria
Description: partial 16S ribosomal RNA
Rfam family: Bacterial small subunit ribosomal RNA
Source: RNAcentral
CCUACGGGUGGCAGCAGUAGGGAAUAUUGCUCAAUGGGGGAAACCCUGAAGCAGCAACGCCGCGUGGAGGAUGAAGGUUUUAGGAUUGUAAACUUCUUUUGUUAGAGAAGAUUAUGACGGUAUCUAACGAAUAAGCACCGGCUAACUCCGUGCCAGCAGCCGCGGCAAUACGGAGGCUGCAAGCGUUAUUCGGAAUCACUGGGCGUAAAGAGUGCGUAGGCGGGGUAAUAAGUCAGAUGUGAAAUCCUGUAGCUUAACUACAGAACUGCAUUUGAAACUGUUACACUGGAGUGUAGGAGAGGUAGGUGGAAUGCUUGGUGUAGGGGUGAAAUGCGUAGAGAUCAAGAAGAAUACUGAUUGCGAAGGCGGCCUGCUGGAACAUAACUGACGCUGAGGCACGAAAGCGUGGGGAGCAAACAGGAUUAGAUACCCGUGUAGUC